This 253-nucleotide ribosomal RNA is filed under the name uncultured bacterium. RNAcentral's name for it is "partial 16S ribosomal RNA". It matches the Rfam family "Bacterial small subunit ribosomal RNA", at positions 524 to 776 of the family's 1533-position model. The record is from RNAcentral.
UACGUAGGGUCCGAGCGUUGUCCGGAAUUACUGGGCGUAAAGAGCUCGUAGGCGGUCUGUCGCGUCUGCUGUGAAAACUCAGGGCUUAACCCUGAGCUUGCAGUGGGUACGGGCAGACUAGAGUGCGGUAGGGGAGACUGGAAUUCCUGGUGUAGCGGUGAAAUGCGCAGAUAUCAGGAGGAACACCGGUGGCGAAGGCGGGUCUCUGGGCCGAAACUGACGCUGAGGAGCGAAAGCGUGGGGAGCAAACAGG